UGAUAUGCAUGCAGAGAUUAGCUUUUUUUUUCCUUUUUUUUUUUCAUUUUUUCAUUUUUUUUUCAUUUUCUUUUUUUUUUAUCGCGUUUCUUUUGAAAAAUAAAUAUGCUAUGAUGCACAUGAUGCAGACUGGACUGACUGGUUGCAUCUCUAAAUCACAAGGUCGAAGCUUCAGUCUAAACUCAGAACCCCAAAUCCAAUUUGAAAACCCAAGAUCAACUGAG
Molecule: long non-coding RNA, 224 nt
Filed under: Lathyrus oleraceus (garden pea)
Lineage: Eukaryota; Viridiplantae; Streptophyta; Magnoliopsida; Fabales; Fabaceae
Description: Pisum sativum (pea) long non-coding RNA (PSAT_LNC033205)
Source: RNAcentral